UGAGGAAUAUUGGUCAAUGGGGGCAACCCUGAACCUGCCAAGUCGCGUGAAGGAUGAAGGUCUUAUGGAUUGUAAACUUCUUUUACACGGGAAUAAAGUGGGGGACGUGUCCCCCUUUGCAUGUACCGUGUGAAUAAGGAUCGGCUAACUCCGUGCCAGCAGCCGCGGUAAUACGGAGGAUCCGAGCGUUAUCCGGAUUUAUUGGGUUUAAAGGGUGCGCAGGCGGGAUGUUAAGUCGGCGGUGAAAUUUUGCAGCUCAACUGUAAAAGUGCCUUCGAUACUGGCCUCCUUGGAUGUGGAUGAAGUAGGCGGAAUUUGUGGUGUAGCGGUGAAAUGCUUAGAUAUCACGAGGAACUCCGAUUGCGCAGGCAGCUUACUAAGCCACAACUGACGCUCAUGCACGAAGGCGUGGGGAUCAAACA
RNAcentral lists this ribosomal RNA (422 nucleotides) under uncultured bacterium. Its description in RNAcentral is "bacterial SSU rRNA". It matches the Rfam family "Bacterial small subunit ribosomal RNA", at positions 355 to 774 of the family's 1533-position model. The record is from RNAcentral.